RNAcentral lists this ribosomal RNA (497 nucleotides) under uncultured bacterium. RNAcentral describes it as "partial 16S ribosomal RNA". It matches the Rfam family "Bacterial small subunit ribosomal RNA", at positions 28 to 507 of the family's 1533-position model. The record is from RNAcentral.
GAUGAACGCUGGCGGCGUGCCUAAUACAUGCAAGUCGAGCGAACAGACGAGGAGCUUGCUCCUCUGACGUUAGCGGCGGACGGGUGAGUAACACGUGGAUAACCUACCUAUAAGACUGGGAUAACUUCGGGAAACCGGAGCUAAUACCGGAUAAUAUAUUGAACCGCAUGGUUCAAUAGUGAAAGACGGUUUUGCUGUCACUUAUAGAUGGAUCCGCGCCGAAUUAGCUAGUUGGUAAGGUAACGGCUUACCAAGGCGACGAUGCGUAGCCGACCUGAGAGGGUGAUCGGCCACACUGGAACUGAGACACGGUCCAGACUCCUACGGGAGGCAGCAGUAGGGAAUCUUCCGCAAAGGGCGAAAGCCUGACGGAGCAACGCCGCGUGAGUGAUGAAGGUCUUCGGAUCGUAAAACUCUGUUAUUAGGGAAGAACAAAUGUGUAAGUAACUAUGCACGUCUUGACGGUACCUAAUCAGAAAGCCACGGCUAACUACGUG